UCGUCGUGCCUUGCUCUAUAUCUAUGCUAGGAUGAUGGAUGUUGUGGCUAAUCAACUGGAAGCCUACACCGUAUUUUCCAGAUGCAGCAACCCAAGAGGUGAGGGUAAUUUGGGUUUCUACAAACUUGACAUGAAACUUGUGUCUAAACAUAAAUUUUAAAAGUGUUUGUAUAGUGUCAAUGAUGAAAUUAAUAAACAACAGUAAAAUAAAAGUAAAGGCAAACACACAAUCAAAAAUAUAAAUAAUUUAUAGUGGUUUGAUGGUAAACUCAGUACCUACGUUCAUUCUCUAAGUAAACCCCAGUUAAAAAUUUUAACUAUAAUUUUUUAAAAUUACAGUCCGAUUAUUUUUUCUCAGUUUUACAAUCCAACUUAGUUGACUUUUUCUGGCUCACCAACCACAACCUUUAUAAUAGCUGGUUUUCUCAAGCUCUAAUAGUAAGAACCUUUACAACAUCCAAUAUAUGGCUUGGACCAAUCCUUAAAGUAUCCAAAUUUCUUUCCAAAAGAAAUUUAUCAUAACUGAAUAGAAAUGGUAUAUAAAAAUUUAAAGCACCAAAAAAUAAAAUCUUUAAGCUCUUGAAGAAGCCAGGGUGGUAGAACUCUUCAACACUUGGACUUCUUCUUUGAAUGUUAGGAGAGGAUUGAAUGAAAGCUUGAACAUUUUGCUCAAAUGGUUGUUGGCUCUGUUGAAUGCUAGCUCUAGUUCUCUCAUUUGAAUAUAAAAAGUUAAUAAUUGAAAGCUCUUUGGAUGCCUUCCUCUUUCUCUUUUUGUAUUUCUCUCUUUCUUUUUGAAUAGCUCUCUUUUGGCAUUUCUCUCCUUUUUUUGGAGAGAUGUGUCCCAAUUUGAGUUCUCCAUAUUUAUGGCCUCUAAAAUGGCUUAAAUUAAUGCUCUAAUCAUUGGAGGCUUAGAAAUACCUAUUAGAUGCAAAAUGUGGCUACUUAAUAUAGUUUGAAAAACUAGCUAUUAUGCUGUCAGAAUUCUGUAAGUUGUCUCAUCCAAAAUCUUGAUCGGCUAAGAUAAAGUAUUGAAUUGGCUAGUGAAACUUUGGAUCCACUCAAGAAUAUAUGCUCAUUUUCUAUUUUCUAUAUUUUUUUAUCUAUUUGAGAUUAGAUUGACUCAGAUAUCUUCUUAGUCAGCUAACUCCAUGACUUAGCAGUUCACUUAGUUUUCUAGAUCGACUUAGAGGAUGCUUGAUUUUAUAUUACUUUCUAUCUUUUUUUUAGCUCUAAGAUUGAGUUCACUAAUCAAUUGCUUGAGUCGGCUAACUUUCUAUCU
This 1279-nucleotide long non-coding RNA is filed under the name Elaeis guineensis (African oil palm). RNAcentral describes it as "long non-coding RNA (EGUI_LNC066534)". The record is from RNAcentral. Lineage: Eukaryota; Viridiplantae; Streptophyta; Magnoliopsida; Arecales; Arecaceae.